UUAACACAUGCAAGUCGAGCGGGCCCUUCGGGGUCAGCGGCGGACGGGUGAGUAACGCGUGGGAACGUGCCCUCUGGUCUGGAAUAACCCUGGGAAACUAGGGCUAAUACCGGAUACGCCCUUUUGGGGAAAGGCUUGCUGCCGGAGGAUCGGCCCGCGUCUGAUUAGCUAGUUGGUGGGGUAACGGCCUACCAAGGCGACGAUCAGUAGCUGGUCUGAGAGGAUGAUCAGCCACACUGGGACUGAGACACGGCCCAGACUCCUACGGGAGGCAGCAGUGGGGAAUAUUGGACAAUGGGCGCAAGCCUGAUCCAGCCAUGCCGCGUGAGUGAUGAAGGCCUUAGGGUUGUAAAGCUCUUUUAUCCGGGACGAUAAUGACGGUACCGGAGGAAUAAGCCCCGGCUAACUUCGUGCCAGCAGCCGCGGUAAUACGAAGGGGGCUAGCGUUGCUCGGAAUCACUGGGCGUAAAGGGCGCGUAGGCGGCGUUUUAAGUCGGGGGUGAAAGCCUGUGGCUCAACCACAGAAUGGCCUUCGAUACUGGGACGCUUGAGUAUGGUAGAGGUCGGUGGAACUGCGAGUGUAGAGGUGAAAU
RNAcentral lists this ribosomal RNA (593 nucleotides) under uncultured bacterium. RNAcentral describes it as "bacterial SSU rRNA". It matches the Rfam family "Bacterial small subunit ribosomal RNA", at positions 48 to 687 of the family's 1533-position model. The record is from RNAcentral.